GACGAACGCUGGCGGCGUGCCUAAUACAUGCAAGUAGAACGCUGAAGGAGGAGCUUGCUUCUCUGGAUGAGUUGCGAACGGGUGAGUAACGCGUAGGUAACCUGCCUGGUAGCGGGGGAUAACUAUUGGAAACGAUAGCUAAUACCGCAUAAUAGUAGAUGUUGCAUGACAUUUGCUUAAAAGGUGCAAUUGCAUCACUACUAGAUGGACCUGCGUUGUUUUAGCUAGUUGGUGGGGUAACGGCUCAACAAGGGGACGAAACAUAGCCGAGCAGAGGGGGUGGACGGCCACACGUGGACUGAGACACGGCCCAGACUCCUACGGGAGGCAGCAGUAGGGAAUCUUCGGAAAUGGACGGAAGUCUGACCGAGCAACGCCGCGGGAGGGAAGGAGGGUUUCGGGUCGGAAAGCUCUGUUGUAAGGGAAGAACGAGUGUGAGAGUGGAAAGUUCACACUGUGACGGUAUCUUACCAGAAAGGGACGGCUAACUACGUG
This 495-nucleotide ribosomal RNA is filed under the name uncultured bacterium. Its description in RNAcentral is "partial 16S ribosomal RNA". It matches the Rfam family "Bacterial small subunit ribosomal RNA", at positions 28 to 507 of the family's 1533-position model. The record is from RNAcentral.